UCCCCGUUAACCGGGGCAGUCCCCCUAGAGUUCCCGGCCUGACCCGUUGGCAACUAGCGACAGGGGUUGCGCUCGUUGCGGGACUUAACCCAACACCUCACGGCACGAGCUGACGACAGCCGUGCAUCACCUCGCAUGGUGCCCCGAAGGGAGACCGGCUUUCACCGGCUGUCACCACACGUUCAAGCCCAGGUAAGGUUCUUCGCGUUGCAUCGAAUUAAACCACACGCUCCGCUGCUUGUGCGGGCCGGUGACAGGUGGUGCAUGGCUGUCGU
Molecule: unclassified non-coding RNA, 275 nt
Filed under: uncultured Chloroflexota bacterium
Lineage: Bacteria; Bacillati; Chloroflexota
Description: uncultured Chloroflexi bacterium contains 16S-23S intergenic spacer region
Source: RNAcentral